This is a long non-coding RNA of Loxodonta africana (African savanna elephant), 2272 nucleotides long. RefSeq lists it as uncharacterized. Lineage: Eukaryota; Metazoa; Chordata; Mammalia; Proboscidea; Elephantidae. The record is from RefSeq and is a predicted model, not a curated record. The transcript has 2 exons.
UGCGCUCUGCCUCUGCCACAGAUGUGUCGGUGCAGAUGCGAAUCCUCUUUGCAAACAAACUGAAGAUUAUUUCAAGAGCCAGUCUAAUGAGUAGUGAAUAUGGGCUGAUUACUGUAUUUGCAAAGAACCUUAUUUUAUCCAACAUUGUGUUAAAGACCAGCCUGGUGUUUCCCCAAAGGCUUAUAAAUGUGUAGUCAAUUUGAUUCCUGUGUAUUCCAUCUCUCGAUGUAAAAGGAAGACUGAAGAAGUAUUGAUACAUUUGAAUUAUGGUCUUGGUGAACAGCAUUAAAUAUACAAUGGAUUGCCAGAAGAGUGAAACAAAUCCUUGUGGAAGGAAGUACAGCCAGAAUGCUCCUUAGAAGUGAGGAUGGUGAGACUUCAUUUCAGAUACUUAAGACACAUUGUCAGGAGGGACCAAUUCCUGGAGAAGGACAUCAUGCUUGGUAAAGUAGAGGGUCAGCAAAAAAAGGAAGACCUUCAGUGAGAUGGAUUGACACCUUGGCUGCAACAAUGGGCUCAAACAUAGCAACAAUUGUGAGAAUGGCGCAGGGCCAGGCAACAUUUCAUUCUGUUAUACAUAGGGUUGUUAUGAGUCGGAGCCAGCUUCAGUCCACCUAAAAGCAACAACAACAUCCCAUGAACAUGGUAUAUUUACCCAUGUAUAUUAAUAUUUUAAGUUUUAUUCAGGUACGCAUUGUUUUUGUUUUUAAAUUUUUCAGUGUAGAGAGCUUUCAUAUUUUUAUUAAACUUAUUAGGUAUUUGAUAUUUAUGCUAUUGUUGAUGGUAUUUUUUUAAUUUUAUUUUUCAAAUGUUUGUGACAUAUAUAAUAAACUUAUAUACUGAUUCCAGCAAACUUGCUAAAUCCAUUUAGUAAUUUUAAUAGUUUGUUAGUAGUUUUUUUAAAAAAUAAUUCUUGUGUUUAAUACAGCAUCUGUAUAUAAAGCCACUUUUAUUUCAUUCUUUCCAGUCUUUGUACCUUUUCUUUUCCAUAUCUCAUUGCAUGGAUCUAUGAUUUCCUGUACAAUGAAGAGUAGAAAAGGGGAUAGUAGACAUUGUUACCUUUUUCUCACAUCAGUAGAAAUGUAUUCAAUACUUAAUCAUUAAGUAGUUUGUUAUAAACCCAUGGCCAUUGAGUGGAUUCUGACUGAUAGCAACCCUAUAGGACAGAGUAGAACUGCCCCAUAGAGUUUCCAAGGAGUGGCUGGUGGAUUCACACUGCCAACCUUUUGGUUAGCAGCUGAAUGCUUAACCAGUAUGCCACCAGGGCUCCAAAUAGUUAGAUAGCUAUAGGGUACUUUAGAAACAUAAUCAGAUUAAAGAGGUUGCAUUUUUUCAUAGUUUUUAUAAUCCCAAAUUAUUACUAAAUGCUACCAAAUGUUCUUGAAUUAUCCACUAAGAUAAUCAUAUGUUUUUUUCUCCUUUAUUCUAUUCUGUUAAGCCAACCUUGAAUUUCUGGAAUAAAUUCUUCUGUUAUAGUUCAUUAUUUUUUGUAUGUAUUGCUGAAUUGUGUUUUAUUUCUUAUUUAUAAUUUUUAUGUGUAUGUUCACAAGAGAUUUGUUCUGUGAUUUUCUUCUCAUGUAACAUUACUUUCAAGUUUUUAUAUCAGUGUUUUGUUGGCCUAUGAGUGAGCAAGAACUGCCUGUUUCUCUGUCGUAUUAAAUAUAUUGUGUAAGAUUAAUACUCAUUUUUUUUUUCUUAAAUAUCUAGACGAAUUCACCGUUGAAGUCAUUUAGGCCGGAAUUUUCUUUGGGCCAAGAAUUUUAAUUGUAGAUAAAGCUUCUGUAUAUAGUGUCAUUCAUAUUUUCUACUUCUUCUUAUUCUUAAGUCAGUUUUGGUAAAUGGAAUUUUUGAGAGACUUUAUCCAUUUUUAAAAUUUUUUUUUUUCAAUUUUAUUGGCAUAAAGUCACCUUAAUAUCUUAUCUUUUUAUUAAUUCAUAGGUUCUGUAGGUGUGUGAUGAUAUUCAAUUUUCUUUCUUGAUUUUAGUAUUUUGUGUUUUCUCUUUUUUCUGAUCAGUGUUGCUAGGGAUUUAUACAUUCUAUUGAUCUUUUCAAAGAUUCACCUUUUGUCUUUGUUGAUUUUCUUUACUUCUAUUUUUGAUUUUACUGCUUUUUUGCUCUAAAAUUAAAGAAAAUAUUAGUUUUUGCUGUAAGCUUAGAACAAAAGUAAAUACAAUCAAAAGUAGAAAUAUCCUCUUCAUAUCAGUAUUUUGCCUUUUUUUCCAGUAACAAUAAUAUAUAUAUAUUAUAAAAAAAAAAAAAAAGAGGGUAAUAA